This 505-nucleotide ribosomal RNA is filed under the name uncultured bacterium. RNAcentral's name for it is "bacterial SSU rRNA". It matches the Rfam family "Bacterial small subunit ribosomal RNA", at positions 19 to 518 of the family's 1533-position model. The record is from RNAcentral.
CUGGCUCAGGAUGAACGCUGGCGGCAGGCUUAAUACAUGCAAGUCGAACGGUAACGACCGGUAGCAAUACUGGGGCGACGAGUGGCGCACGGGUGCGUAACGCGUAUGCAACCUACCCUCAACCGGGGCAUAACGCCGAGAAAUUGGCGCUAAUAUCCCAUGUGUAUAAGGAGCGGCAUCGCUAUUUAUAUAAAGAUCCGUUGGUUAAGGAUGGGCAUGCGUAACAUUAGCUAGUUGGCGGGGUAACGGCCCACCAAGGCGACGAUGUUUAGGGGUUCUGAGAGGAUUCACCCCCACACUGGAACUGAGACACGGUCCAGACUCCUACGGGAGGCAGCAGUAGGGAAUAUUGGGCAAUGGAGGCAACUCUGACCCAGCCAUGCCCGCGUGAAGGAAGACGGCCCUAUGGGUUGUAAACUUCUUUUGCCGCAGAGUAACCCGGGGACGCGUCCCCGCUGAGAGUAUGCGGCGAAUAAGUAUCGGCUAACUCCGUGCCAGCCGCCGC